GCAGGGAGGGUGCUAGUGCUCCAGGAAGGAAGGUUGGGGGGAAAAGUCUCUGGCUCCCCUGUUUGCUGAGAAAUUAAUAUUACCAAGCAUGAAGAGAGCCCCAUGGGCCAAGUGGGCAGAGGACAGGAGGAGUGCCAAGCUCAAGGACCGUGAGAACCGCGAGGAGGAUGAAGAUGAGAACAGGUCCGAAAGGAGAAAAGCCCUUCCUGCGAGGGCUAAGGAAGAUGACCAGGAUGAUGACGACAGCGGUGGUGACAGAGGCAGUGAGGAAGAGAAUGAGGAGGAAGGAUUGCGAAUAUUGAAUUCAAGUCACAAGCUGAUGCAGAGAGAACCUUGGAAGAGAAGCAGAGAACAACAGAGAUUGAUGGGUUUGCCAUAGUUUUGGAUCAUAUUAGAGAGAAAAGCCAAGGCUGAGAAAAUAGAGAUGGAAAAAGCAGCACCUGGAGAGCUUCUUUUGAUACAUCAGAAAAUCUGAUGAUGCCAAGGCUACGUUCCUACAUGUCGGCAGUCAGCUGGAGAUGACGAGCAGCUGCUUCCUUUUUCGGAUGGUAUUUGAUCAUGUUUGCUAGCAACGCCCCCCUCCCCCAGUCCAAGAGUCUCCUCCAUACUAAAGGCAUGAACAGCACACUUACGCUUUUUUUUUUUUUUUUU
Molecule: long non-coding RNA, 651 nt
Organism: Cynocephalus volans (Philippine flying lemur)
Lineage: Eukaryota; Metazoa; Chordata; Mammalia; Dermoptera; Cynocephalidae
Exons: 4
Source: RefSeq, a predicted model, not a curated record